CCAAUCAGAGUGUAGAUGCCGAGUCCCUGAGGUGAAAGGUUACUACGGCGAGCGUCAAUGACCAAUAGAAAAAGCGACGACUUCAUUUCAAGUACAGCGUUGCACAAGAGAGCCAUUGCAUUUCAAGUUCACUUUCUUCAAAGCAGUUCCGGAUCUCUCUGGCAGUUCGGCGUCGUACAGAGUCGCCGGCAGGUGUCCGUCUCAACCCAGACGGCAAACGCAGCGUGUGGAAUGCAGUGGAGAAGCGGCAACGGCCGGAGCCUUGCCUGGUGCUCGCUGCUCCUGGCCACUCUUCUCCUGCGCGCCCACGCGCACGAAUCCGAGGCUAACGGCCACCCGGACGUAACCGAUGGUCACCGAAUGCGUCUGGACAAGAACGUGGUUCAGGACAGGGAGCACAUCAUGGAGCAUUUGGACGGAGUGAUCGAUAAGCCGGAGUCCGACAUGUCUCCCCAAGAGCUACAGCUGCACUACUUCAAGAUGCACGACUACGACGGCAACAACCUGCUGGACGGCCUCGAGCUGGCCACCGCCAUCACGCACGUACACAAAGAGGAGAGGGGAGAGGACAGUCAGCCAAUGAGAGAGGAGGACCUCAUAAACUUGAUUGACGAUGUCCUGAGAGACGAUGACAAAAACAACGACGGUUACAUCGAUUAUGCCGAAUUCGCCAAAUCUCUCGAGUAGAGAAAUGGGGGAUUGAGCAACUGUGAAAUGGCCUAAACGGGUGAACAUUACCACUCAUCUUUCUAGAAACAAGCAGCCUUUAAUUCACCUGAGCUAGUACGUCCGGUGGGCCAUGGAGGCGGAGAAAACGCGGCUCCGGCGAUGCCUCGCAGCGCUGCUGGCGUCUCUGACCUAGACGCCACUUUUGAACCGUGGACCGCCCUGACGUCGCAUGUCAAUCACCCCCCCGAGUCACGCCCACUUACAGAGCCCACCUGCGGCCAUGCCGAAGGCAGUGCUAGCCAGCACAAUGCAUUCAAGUGUUUAUGUGGGAACCACUAUUGCUUAAAG
Conger conger (European conger) is the source of this 1017-nucleotide RNA transcript. It is a transcript of the gene named multiple coagulation factor deficiency 2, ER cargo receptor complex subunit, with no coding region annotated. NCBI's taxonomy places the organism in Eukaryota, Metazoa, Chordata, Actinopteri, Anguilliformes, Congridae. The transcript has 5 exons. The record is from RefSeq and is a predicted model, not a curated record.